This is a long non-coding RNA of Chrysemys picta bellii (western painted turtle), 2333 nucleotides long. RefSeq lists it as uncharacterized. NCBI's taxonomy places the organism in Eukaryota, Metazoa, Chordata, Testudines, Emydidae. The record is from RefSeq and is a predicted model, not a curated record.
AGACUAGUACUGUCUCCACUACACUUUUUUCCCCUUUAUAAUGCAAGGGUGAUUUUUUUAUAUAUAUAUCAACAGCCAAUGAAGUUAUUAUUUGCCCAAAUAAAUCUUUUAAAAGAAACAAAUACAUAGAAUGCCGAGAUGCGGAUUGAGCACACAUAGAAACGUUAAAUAAUAAUAAUAAUAAUAAUGAUAAUAUUAAUUAUUAUUAAUAAUAAUAUGUAUAUAGUGCCGAAAGCUUUAUUUAAGCAAAUGCAUCCUGAUUGACCUAAAUCUAUGCAAUAUACUAAUAAUGUAUCUUUUUUUAAGCUAAAAGAGAAAAUAUGAAGAAACAGAAGAAAACAUAUAAAGGUUGGUCAUCAGCGGGCAUAAGCAUACCCAGAGUCAAAUUAACAGGGUCCCAGGAAUGAUUAAAAUGUUGCAGCAAGUAAAUGCUUAUGUUAACGGGAUUGAAUGAAUGCUGGUGAUUAAACAGAACGGGCAAAUAUACCUGGCUGCAUAAAAACCUAAAUGAAGUCUCUGGUUGAAUUUUAUUGCCUAAGCCCUGUACAUAUUACAGGUGGUCUGCAAACUGGACUGAGGGUGAUUAUCGUACUAAGCAAGCUCUGAUAAUUCACCGAUAUCUUGAAAAGCAAGAGAUGCAGCCAAGAAAUACAAACUUUCUAAGAUUUGUAUGAAAGGUUAUUGACAUAUAACAAUAGCCUAUAUGUGUCAUACCAAAACGCAUAUUAAAGUAUGCCUUGGUUUCGCAAGUAUUUUACACGCAAUGAAGUUAUGCUCGUGUUUAUGUUUUGCUGAAAAACCUUAAAGCGAUCUGUGGUCUUUAAAAUCAAAACAGAUGCCUUAUAUGUCCAAGUGGUGGUUCCAUUUCCUCUUUAGCUGUUUUCCGGUAACAGGUUAGAAUAGAGACCACAAUAUCUUUCAAAAGCUGAUUUCGAGGAAUCAUUAGAAUAAAAAAUGUAAAUAUAACGUGCUGAUGAUUAAAACUGCAGGGCUAUUGGUGUAAAAGCAGAAUUGCUAAUUACUUGUGGGCUGAAUGACACUAACAACAUGAGAUGAAUUAUUCUGAAAUGUAUAUACAAACAUAACCUAUUUAAAGGACAUUUACUUUUAUACAGAGGGAAAGACCCUGGGGAUGGACAAAGGAUGUCCUGGACACUUUCCUACAGAGCCAAAUCAGACCCCGCACUCCACCCCCUCUUUGAUUUAAAAAAAAAGAAAGAAAAAAGAAAAAGACUUGAGCACAACAACUGUAUUGAAUGAUGAGCUCUUUCCUCCUUGCAUAGGUUAGGACUUCCCUUUUUGUGAAUUGGCAGGGUAUGUACGUUAAUAUUUUAAUUAAUCGGUGAAAAUCGAAGUCCGAUUUGUGUUAUCAGGAGACCCCCGAUCCCUCCUCCAAGGGGUGAGAAAAAAAGAUGUGUUAGAAAGCAAUCUAUUUUGCUGGUGUUGGGGGUUAAUGACUAUUGCCAAAGAUAAGUGAAUUAUCAAAGCUGUUGCUCUACCCGAUCUCAAAAUCCAUUACAUUGCUGGCCGUCUAAUUAAAUACUUGUCCACAUACUUGACUUGGAUUCAGAUUCUUACACAUCCAGAGCUUCAGGUAAAAGCCGAAUGAAAAUAGGUGUAUAAACCAAGCACUGGAGUUGAAGGGGUUAAAGAUGACCUCACCCAGCUGCACAUGAAGAUCAUGCUCCAGAUGGAGGUGGAACUUAAAAGGAAGCCAGAAAGUUCAGAAGGGGGCUAAAAAGACAGGGAGAAGAACCGGCUCUGGCAACUCCUGAGAAGGCACAGUGCGGCAGCUUCUCUGGGGAAAGAGGAGCCUACCUGCUGAGCCAACACAUACUAAAGACUCAUGUCUGAACAAUGAAAAACUAAAGCGAUUGGUAUGAGAAGGAGAAAAAAAGAAUUGAAAGAUCUGAGGAUGACUGCUGGGGUCUGUGCUGAGGACAAAUUCUCACUGAUAAGGUAUAUCAAUAUGCCGCUAUCACAAAAUCAGUUUGCCUUUAUGCUUAUUAUUGAAUAUAGUGCUUCAGAAGGAGCACUGAUGUUGAUUCAAAGCUGUAUGGGGAAAACUGAUUAUAGGUGGUAUUUAGAAAGCAACAGAGACAUCUAAUGAGGACUGUGCCACAUACAGACAAGAAACAGUUAUUGCUGUUUCUUUUACAGGUCAAAAGAGACCUGAGCAUUCUAUUCCUGUGUUUUCUCUGCCAAAGGCUUGAAUAACAUACUUUCCUGUUCUUAAACCACAAAAACCUCUACACAAAUGCCUGCAUAUUAUGUUUUAUUUUAAAUCCAUAAUGUCACGUUAAUUUUUCUUUUUCAACAUAUUAAGUGUUAAC